Molecule: small nucleolar RNA, 68 nt
Organism: Nannospalax galili (Upper Galilee mountains blind mole rat)
Lineage: Eukaryota; Metazoa; Chordata; Mammalia; Rodentia; Spalacidae
Gene: SNORD27
Rfam family: Small nucleolar RNA SNORD27
About the family: U27 is a member of the C/D class of snoRNA which contain the C (UGAUGA) and D (CUGA) box motifs. U27 is encoded within the U22 snoRNA host gene (UHG) in mammals and is thought to act as a 2'-O-ribose methylation guide for ribosomal RNA.
Source: Ensembl
CUUCAUGAUGAAUAUAAAAUGACAAGCAUAUGGCUGAAUUGCAGUGAUGUCAGCUCACUACUGAGAAG